AUGAAAUCUAAUUUCAAUGUUGUCCCACUGUCCGAUGUGUGUGACGCGUCGAUCUAUACUGCAGUUAAAUGCGUAUGGUGUCGUCACCACAGUUUUUAAAGUCGAGGAUCGCGAAAGUCUGAUCUUUAAAUACAAUAAAGA
Molecule: unclassified non-coding RNA, 141 nt
Filed under: soil metagenome
Description: partial internal transcribed spacer 1
Source: RNAcentral